CAGCAGCCGCGGGAAUACGUAGGUGGCAAGCGUUGUCCGGAAUUAUUGGGCGUAAAGGGCUCGCAGGUGGUUUCUUAAGUCUGAUGUGAAAGCCCCCGGCUCAACCGGGGAGGGUCAUUGGAAACUGGGAAACUUGAGUGCAGAAGAGGAGAGUGGAAUUCCACGUGUAGCGGUGAAAUGCGUAGAGAUGUGGAGGAACACCAGUGGCGAAGGCGACUCUCUGGUCUGUAACUGACGCUGAGGAGCGAAAGCGUGGGGAGCGAACAGGAUUAGAUACCCCUGUAGUCCCUGUCUCUUAUAC
Molecule: ribosomal RNA, 301 nt
Filed under: uncultured bacterium
Lineage: Bacteria
Description: partial 16S ribosomal RNA
Rfam family: Bacterial small subunit ribosomal RNA
Source: RNAcentral